RNAcentral lists this ribosomal RNA (519 nucleotides) under Bifidobacterium bifidum. Its description in RNAcentral is "bacterial SSU rRNA". It matches the Rfam family "Bacterial small subunit ribosomal RNA", at positions 159 to 690 of the family's 1533-position model. The record is from RNAcentral. Lineage: Bacteria; Bacillati; Actinomycetota; Actinomycetes; Bifidobacteriales; Bifidobacteriaceae.
GGUGGUAAUGCCGGAUGUUCCACAUGAUCGCAUGUGAUUGUGGGAAAGAUUCUAUCGGCGUGGGAUGGGGUCGCGUCCUAUCAGCUUGUUGGUGAGGUAACGGCUCACCAAGGCUUCGACGGGUAGCCGGCCUGAGAGGGCGACCGGCCACAUUGGGACUGAGAUACGGCCCAGACUCCUACGGGAGGCAGCAGUGGGGAAUAUUGCACAAUGGGCGCAAGCCUGAUGCAGCGACGCCGCGUGAGGGAUGGAGGCCUUCGGGUUGUAAACCUCUUUUGUUUGGGAGCAAGCCUUCGGGUGAGUGUACCUUUCGAAUAAGCGCCGGCUAACUACGUGCCAGCAGCCGCGGUAAUACGUAGGGCGCAAGCGUUAUCCGGAUUUAUUGGGCGUAAAGGGCUCGUAGGCGGCUCGUCGCGUCCGGUGUGAAAGUCCAUCGCUUAACGGUGGAUCUGCGCCGGGUACGGGCGGGCUGGAGUGCGGUAGGGGAGACUGGAAUUCCCGGUGUAACGGUGGAAUGUG